Molecule: ribosomal RNA, 119 nt
Filed under: Helianthus annuus (common sunflower)
Lineage: Eukaryota; Viridiplantae; Streptophyta; Magnoliopsida; Asterales; Asteraceae
Source: RNAcentral
GGUUGCGAUCAUACCAGCACUAAUGCACCGGAUCCCAUCAGAACUCCGCAGUUAAGCGUGCUUGGGCGAGAGUAGUACUAGGAUGGGUGACCCCCUGGGAAGUCCUAGUGUUGCAACCC